CGGGGCAGCAAUGCCCAGUGGCGCACGGGUGCGUAACGCGUAUGCAACCUGCCACUCACAGGGGGAUAGCCCACCGAAAGGUGGAUUAAUACCGCAUAAGAUAGUAGUGGGACCUCCUACAGCUAUUAAAGAUUUAUCGGUGAGAGAUGGGCAUGCGUGCCAUUAGCUAGUUGGCAGUGUAACGGACUACCAAGGCGACGAUGGCUAGGGGUUCUGAGAGGAAGAUCCCCCACACUGGUACUGAGAUACGGACCAGACUCCUACGGGAGGCAGCAGUAGGGAAUAUUGGGCAAUGGGCGCAAGCCUGACCCAGCCAUGCCGCGUGCAGGAAGAAGGCCUUCUGGGUUGUAAACUGCUUUUGACAGGGAAGAAAAGCAAGUACGUGUACUUGAAUCGACGGUACCUGUAGAAUAAGCACCGGCUAACUCCGUGCCAGCAGCCGCGGUAAUACGGAGGGUGCAAGCGUUGUCCGGAUUUAUUGGGUUUAAAGGGUGCGUAGGCGGCCCUGUAAGUCAGUAUUAAAAGACGGUAGCUUAACUAUCGGGCUGGUAUUGAUACUGCAGGGCUUGAGUUGAGACGAGGUAGGCGGAAUUGAUAAUGUAGCGGUGAAAUGCAUAGAUAUUAUCAGGAACUCCGAUUGCGAAGGCAGCUUACUAGGCUCAAACUGACGCUGAGGCACGAAAGUGCGGGGAGCAAACAGGAUUAGAUACCCUGGUAGUCCGCACAGUAAACGAUGAUUACUCGAUGUUGGCCGGCAUAGGUCAGCGUCUUA
RNAcentral lists this ribosomal RNA (772 nucleotides) under Adhaeribacter sp. MJ531. Its description in RNAcentral is "bacterial SSU rRNA". It matches the Rfam family "Bacterial small subunit ribosomal RNA", at positions 67 to 850 of the family's 1533-position model. The record is from RNAcentral. Lineage: Bacteria; Pseudomonadati; Bacteroidota; Cytophagia; Cytophagales; Hymenobacteraceae.